AUUGAACGCUGGCGGCAUGCCUUACACAUGCAAGUCGAGCGGCAGCGCGGGGGCAACCCUGGCGGCGAGCGGCGAACGGGUGAGUAAUGCAUCGGAACGUGUCCUUUUGUGGGGGAUAACCAGUCGAAAGACUGGCUAAUACCGCAUGAGCUCGAGAGAGGAAAGCAGGGGACCCGAGGGUAACUUCGGGCCUUGCGCGAGAGGAGCGGCCGAUGCCCGAUUAGCUAGUUGGUGGAGGUAAC
Molecule: ribosomal RNA, 242 nt
Filed under: uncultured bacterium
Lineage: Bacteria
Description: partial 16S ribosomal RNA
Rfam family: Bacterial small subunit ribosomal RNA
Source: RNAcentral